Molecule: long non-coding RNA, 934 nt
Organism: Prunus persica (peach)
Lineage: Eukaryota; Viridiplantae; Streptophyta; Magnoliopsida; Rosales; Rosaceae
Exons: 2
Source: RefSeq, a predicted model, not a curated record
UUGUUUUUAUUUGUUUUUGCUGAAUUGAAAUUACCCCCAUUUUGAUGUUGCUCCUAAUUUCAUGUUGCAGGAUUCUCUUCCAACGAUCUAUCCAUUGCUAGGUAUGGGUAUACGCUUACAUUCACCUACCUUUACAUUACUUUCUUUGUUUGCUAAUUGUACUCUUUUUUUUUCUUUUAUAUGUAAACUGCUAAGAUGGGUGUCUAGAAAAAUAAGGUCAAUAAAAGAAAAUACUUGAGACGGUCAUCUAAAAAAAUCAUAAUUACAAAAAUAAAAAAAAUUAGAAAAAUUGUAAGUCGCACGUAGCGCAUGAUCAAAAAAGAAUCUCCCGCACAUGCGUGGGAGGCUAGUGGUAUUAUAAAUAAAGAGGAUAUAAGCAACAUUACAAUAACAGAUUCAAUACUAAUAAUAUAUAGUUUGACAAAAAAAAAAACUAAUAUUAUACAGAAAAGUUUAAUUAAUAAGUUAAUAUAUAUAAAAUAAAAAAAAACUAAUAAUAUAUAGUUUAAUUAAGAUUUUGCAUGCCCCAGUCUUGGAGAGGCUUGGACAUAAAGCCCCCUUUUAAAAUGGAGGGUGAGCAUGGUCUUGUUCUUGUAACGGAGAUAUUGCAUUUUCUCAAGGGUCUCUUCGAUGCUUGCAGAGCAUAUAAAUAAACCAUGUAAGAGUGCUAGCCGUUGUGUCUUUUCCGGCUGCAAUGAGGCUGAGGACCAUGUCUCGCAAGUACUUUGGAUCAGUCUCUUCCGAUGCCAAAAGCCUUUAAACAAUGUCUACUUUCUUCAACUCUAUAUUCAAUUAUAUUAAUCAAUAAUAACAUGAAAUUAAUUCAAUCCAGGACAAACAUGACCUAGAAGGUAACUCACAGCUCGUAGCUUAUCUUCUGAAUUAUGAAUUGUUUCAAUCUUGUCUUUGAUUAAUUUAUAAACAAAUUGAUCUA